AAUACUUCAGAUAUAAGCUGUGAACACACAUGUACACAAAACUGUGCAACAUUCAUCAUCAUAUUGUAUCAAUUUGUCGGAGUAUGACGCUCAUAUUUGUGACAUCGUUUUGUUCGCUUUGGCAACCCUUGUAUAUACCAGAUGCUGUUCGGCUUCAAAUGCGGCUGAAUAAACACUGAUAGUGUUGCCUGGAAUAUGAAAUGAUAUUGACUGAUUGUUCUGUAUAUCAAGGUAUGUACUGUACAUUUAUACUGAAUAUAUUUUCACACGAGUUUCAAACUAUUUCAGCCUUAUGAACAAUGAGAUUACAUCACUAACAUACAGUCAUACAGAAAGACUCCAUAUUUUCUCAUCAAAUCUGUUUAUCGUUACAAGUAACAGUAGAAAUGCUUCAAAAUGUAUUCUGUAUGUAAAGCAGGCCAGCAUGUUUCAUUUUGCUUUGGUGGUAGUCACCACUCACCAAGUCAAAUAGGUCAUUCCAUUUAAUAGCCCCCCUAUUAGGUCUGGAUAUCCUAUAUGGGGAGUUUAGAGAGGGAGUUUUUACCUUAAUUUUUUCUGGAGGGUAGCUUAAGAGAUUUCCUAAAAAUUAGGUGUUUUAGUGAUAUCCAAAGGAGCAGGAACUAUAUCCUAAAGGGGUAGAAGGAUAUUCAUAGGGGUUCCAAAAUUGCAUCCAAUGGGGUUCCAAAAUUUUUAAGGUAUUAUGAGAGACCCCCCAAUAGGUGUGGGGGCUAUAUUAGAUGGAAUGGCCCAGUGUGCUGCAACAACUUUUAAAAUUUGUAUAUAUGUUUUUAAGGCACAAUAUGUGAUGGAGUUUGAUAUGAUGAUCAGCACAACCUGAAGGUCUUGACUGAAUGAACAACUUAUCUGAUAUACUCCUAGUUCCAAUACUUUGCUGUAUAUUAUCACCAGCUCAGAUGCCAGUUGGAUCACUUUGAAUGAACAUUGGAGUGGCACAAUAAAGUGUCUGUAUUAGGGAGGAGUCCAUAAGGACUGAAGUAAAAGGCACACUUUUGGAUAUUAAUUUGAAUCAUAGCAACUACAUAUACUGUAGGUUUCAAAUAAGUUUGAACAAUGAACAACUGAAAAUAGAAAUUUAUUUAAUUUGAAACACUUAAAGGAAUUACAACAUAUUAUAUGAUAGUCAUAUGUACAUGAUUAAAGGUAUAUUCAUUAGUUUUACUAGCUGAUAUUUAUGACCAUCCUGGGACAACAUUUUAUUUUUCCCAAGAGAUUUUACUUGCAUGAUAGUAAUAAGUUUAAUAGUAACAGAGAAGUGUGAUGGAUAUAUGCAAGUAAUUAUCAUUAGAAAUACAAAUAUUAAACUGUAAUUUUGACCAUUGUAAAUGUAUUAUUAAAGAAACAAAAUACAAAAGUCAAACAAGGCUAUUUAACAUAAUACAGUCAUAAUACUAGACUGGUUAACUACUGGAUAGAGGGAUCAUGAAAAUCUUCAAAGAUUACUACCAUAGCUCUGUAACAGGAAAAGGUAUAGUGAGUUAAGCUUUCUUCACCUUGAUGAACAAAAUUAUAUAGCAUUAGAAAACUAUAAUGCCAUCAAAUAAUUCCCAUUUAAAAAUUUUCAUGUUGGUCACUGUGAAAUAUAAUUUUGAGGCCAUCUUAAUGAUUGUUUACUAUCUGAUUGAUGACAUGAUUAUAUAUAUUUCCAAUUUUCCAUGGAAUCCAAGUUGGUUUUUUCCCAAGUUCAUGUAAAAUAUGGU
Molecule: long non-coding RNA, 1718 nt
Filed under: Paramuricea clavata
Lineage: Eukaryota; Metazoa; Cnidaria; Anthozoa; Malacalcyonacea; Plexauridae
Source: RNAcentral